This 30-nucleotide small RNA is filed under the name Bombyx mori (domestic silkworm). Its description in RNAcentral is "ovarian small RNA-29026". Lineage: Eukaryota; Metazoa; Arthropoda; Insecta; Lepidoptera; Bombycidae. The record is from RNAcentral.
UCGGUAUGUCGCGGCCAAGAUUUCGGCCUC